GGGAGCGUCACUUGACACGGCUCUGCAAGCCCUGUGAAGAUUGUUAAUUGAUCCUCCAAAAGCUUGUACUUGCUUACAUAAACUGUGGCUGUUCACAGAAGUCGGCAUAUAGCAUUUGUGUCAAGUGUGUAGGGAUCUCAUAAAAAAGAAACUCCACAUUUGGCAACAAGGAUGGGAUUCCAAUAUAUCUAUGGAACUUCAAAGUGGACUGAAUAAGUGAUCAUCUGUGUGAGGGUGACUUGAGAUGGAUGGGCUUACAAGUGGAUUAUGACAGCUGGUUUGAUCAUGUUAGGAACUGAUAUGAUCACAGGCAUGAAUUCAACAUUACGUUUCAGUCAUAUGAAGAGAUGACCAAGGAUUUGAGAGUAGCAGUACUGAAAUUCAUCAACUUUCUUGGAAGAUCUCUGGAUAAUAAAAGUGUUGACAUAAUUGUGGAGUGCUCUACUUUUAAGAAUAUGAAAUCAAACCCAAAAUCAAACUACGAAA
Long non-coding RNA from Stegostoma tigrinum, 486 nucleotides. RefSeq lists it as uncharacterized. Lineage: Eukaryota; Metazoa; Chordata; Chondrichthyes; Orectolobiformes; Stegostomatidae. The record is from RefSeq and is a predicted model, not a curated record. The transcript has 3 exons.